UCAAUUUAUAAAUCAACUUGUAUUAUCGCACCAGCAGCGCAGCGUGCGCGAGUAAGGAUAACGUAUUGGUCCGGACUUCGUAUUACUAUAUUUCGCUUCGUUGGCUGAAUUGCAUUUUUCAUCAUACGAAUCGCUCAUUUUCAACGGAAUCAAAAUGGGUAGCGUUGAAGAGAUUUAUGAAAAUGAAAUACACCGUACUAUCACACGGCGUACGAGCUUCAAAAUUCAAGAGACGUCGUCGAAAAAAACCACUACGAUGACCACCGCCCCGGCCAAGCUGUACGGCAAGAACUUGAGUGAAUAUGAUGAGCUAGAUGUCGACCAACUGCUCUCUCAGUUAUCACCUGAAGAGAUCAGCAUUUUGGCUAAAGAAGUCGAUCCAGACGACAACUUAUUACCACCAUCUGAACGUUGUAGUUAUGAAUGUAACAAAGAAGCCACUGGACCAUUAAAUAGAAAAAAACUGAUUGAGCAUAUUAACAAACAGGCUCUUGAAACACCUGAUCUACCAGAAAUUAAACCAUAUGUACCUGGAACUGUAAGAGGGAAAAAGUGGGUGGCACCUGAAACCAAUGGUAACACUGAACAUGAAGAUAAAAUUGCAAUUGAUCUUGAUGAUGAAUACGGUGAUGCGUUAAAUUCCGCAUCACAAGAAGAAAUUAUAGAUUUGGCUGCUAUACUAGGAUUCCAUUCAAUGAUGAAUCAAGAUCAAUACCAUGCUUCAUUAUUAAAUAAAGGUCAACCAGUUGGCUUAGGAUGGGACGGUGUUACAAAGGCAACACAGCCUAAGGUUUAUCCCCCAGAGCCGCCCAAUCAAACAGAUCCAGAAGAAACUAUUAAACGAGUACUUGAUGAUGAUUCUAAGCUACUUGAUCUCAAUUGGAACAACAUUAAAAAUAUUUCUGAUGAAAAGUUUGAGAAUCUAUUCAAAGCUUUAGUAGAAAAUACUCAUUUAGAAACAUUAAGUUUGGUAAAUGUUGGACUCACUGAUCGGUUAGCAGACAAGUUAGCUGAAGCAUUAGAAAAAAAUUGCACAUUACGCGUUUGCAAUGUGGAAACAAAUUUCAUUAGCCCUGUAGGAAUAGUCCAUUUAGUCAAGUCUUUAUUGAAGCAGAGAUCUUUAGAAGAAUUCCGUGCCACUAAUCAGAGAUCCCAAGUAUUGGGAAAUAAGAUAGAAAUGGAACUUACCAAAUUGAUUGAACAAAAUCCAACUAUUCUUAGACUGGGUUUGCAUUUGGAGUACAAUGAUGCUCGUCAUCGCAUUGCAUCUCAUUUACAACGCAAUAUUGACAGGAUAAGAAAAGACACGCCGUUGAAAAUGAAAUUUAGGUUCUUUAGAAAAACACCCCAGAAGCACCGCAAGAACUUGAUCAAAUAAAUGAUCGGCGGAUUACAUUAUUGAGUACGCCAGAGCCGUGUGGGCGCAAACUCCGCAUAAAUUACAUAUUUUGGCUACGUACACUAUUUAGGCCGUUUACGCAGAACUGGUCACUUUGCGCGUACAUACACUGGCGGUUGGGUUGUACAUAAAAAGGCUAAAUAAUUAUGAGUUUGUGCCUAGACCUUGGUCCUAGACUCUUAUAUUUUAAGUAUUUAAUUAUAUACUAUAUUUAUAUAAUGUAUUGUUUUUUUCUCCUCAUUAAUUGUUCAAACAAUUUGUAUAUAUAUUUAUGUUAUGGUCUUAUGCUGGCCUUUUCAUAUGCGUUUAGUUCUUAGUGCAUGUGUGUGACAAUUUUAUUGAUUUGAAUUUUUAAACAUACAAUUAUAUUUAUUAA
This is an RNA transcript of Melanaphis sacchari, 1775 nucleotides long. It is a transcript of the gene named tropomodulin, with no coding region annotated. Lineage: Eukaryota; Metazoa; Arthropoda; Insecta; Hemiptera; Aphididae. The record is from RefSeq and is a predicted model, not a curated record. The transcript is spliced from 11 exons.